Molecule: long non-coding RNA, 628 nt
Organism: Anguilla rostrata (American eel)
Lineage: Eukaryota; Metazoa; Chordata; Actinopteri; Anguilliformes; Anguillidae
Exons: 2
Source: RefSeq, a predicted model, not a curated record
UAACGGCCUUGACUGAUACCUAUAUGGCAACCCAGACUAACAGAUGGAUACAGGUACAGACAAAAUGGAUGCAUACCUUGUAUUUCUGUUUAAGGUUUUCCCACUUUUUCUUCACUGAUGCUACCGUCACCUUCCCCUCCAACUCCAUCUCUUUGAUAAACACCCUGUGAAGACAUUCACAAAUUGGAAAACAAGAUCGGAGGAGCCGGAAGCGGUGGUGGGGCUAAAGCAGGAGUUGGAGGUGGCGGUGGAGUUCAAGCAGGAUUUGGAGGCGGCGGUGGAGUUCAAGCAGGAGUUGGAGGUGGCGGUGGAGUUCAAGCAGGAUUUGGAGGUGGCGGUGGAGUUCAAGCAGGAGCUGGAGGUAGCAGCUUUCCCCUCAGAGGGAACGGAGAAGACUGUGUCAUCUGCAGCAGAUGAGGAGCCAACGGUCACACAGGUGAUGCUGUGGCUGAACUCCAAUGCCUCGUCCAUGGCCCUAUACCACGUCCACGUGUCAGCGGUCACCCCACCGUGUGUGCUCCCCCCAUUGGGUUGGUUUUUUAACUCCUGAAAAUGAAAGAAAGGCUACCGUAAGUGUACUGUACAUAGUAAUAAAUAUUUGAUAUCCCCGAGGGGCAAUUUAAUUGAA